GCCUGGGUGGCUCAGUCGGUGAAGCAUCUGACUUCGGCUCAGGUCAUGAUCUCACGUUUCGUGGGUUCGAGCCCUGCGUCAGGCU
This 85-nucleotide transfer RNA is filed under the name Felis catus (domestic cat). It matches the Rfam family "tRNA". Rfam says of the family: Transfer RNA (tRNA) molecules are approximately 80 nucleotides in length. Their secondary structure includes four short double-helical elements and three loops (D, anti-codon, and T loops). The record is from Rfam by way of RNAcentral. Lineage: Eukaryota; Metazoa; Chordata; Mammalia; Carnivora; Felidae.